UGUAACUUCCUCCCUCUUUCUUGGAAUGCAUAAAGGAGUGUGAGCACGACUUCUGUGGCAGAGCUGGCAUGACUGUGAACUGUGAUGUUUGAUGUGUGUUGGCUCUCCUGCGCGCAGUAAUAAAUAGUUUGUUCACAGCUCUUUCUGUGUUGCAGACUUUAUUUACAAAAUUCCACGACACCCCCCACCCUCCCACUGUGAACAUGAAUUGAAUAUUCAGAAGACAUUUGUUUAAAUACUUCUAGAAAUCUGAGCUGUUGGUGUGUCCUUGGAUUGUGUGGUAAUAAUAUUAGAGCUGGCAAUCUUUCCUACUGAAUCUCUACUCUGAGUCAUGUUACCUGAGAUUAAUUCUAUGUUUACCUGUCAGCCUGGACAAAUGUGCUGUGUGAAGGAUGUAAAUCAAAUCAGAUCUUAACUGCUUACAUUUAAGGAGCCUGGUCAUAUUUAAUUGUAAUAUGAACCAAUGAUUUUCUGAUUGCUGAUUCUAACAGAGUCUUUGUGGAAAUUUGGCUUUUUGUCAUUUUAAUUCUCUUUUCUGUUUUCCAGAACAGUUCUCCACAGUCACUGUCCACAUGGGUCAGUGGGACCAAGCAGCACUCCGCUAAUGUGAGACUCUGACCAGCAACAUCCAGCAAGACCCAGACAGCGUUUUCUAUCUCCCAGCUGGUGUUUUUUUGUUUGUCUGUGACUGGAGAGUCAGAUUUUUGUUGAGGCUGGAGGAACAGCCUCACACUUGCAGAGGUUAAUACACGCUACUGAUCCCUGAUGGGAGAAUCAUCACCUCUGCCAACAAAGAAGCCUGGUGGAUGUUUGUUUACAGUCUGAUGAUGGGACAUCAUGCUCUGCAUCUUCAAUUCUUUUUGCAGGAUCAGAAAACAAAACCAGGAGGCGCGUAAAUGUUUCUUCUCCAAUUGGAUGAUGAUAAGACUGUGACACGGGAUGCCACCUUUAGUCUUGUGAUGAAGCAAAGCUCAGGAAGAAGUGUGAUUAAAUGGUACCCACAUGUGUGCUGCUGAGAAGGAUGUACAGGGGCACCUGCAGCCAAAUCCAAGCCUCCUCAG
This is a long non-coding RNA of Oreochromis niloticus (Nile tilapia), 1061 nucleotides long. RefSeq lists it as uncharacterized. Lineage: Eukaryota; Metazoa; Chordata; Actinopteri; Cichliformes; Cichlidae. The transcript has 3 exons. The record is from RefSeq and is a predicted model, not a curated record.